ACCGGUUCGUGUCUCCGCACCGCCCAUCCCUAAAACAUCGCCACGUCCCCGCCACCCCCCUUCAAUGUCCGUCGCCACCGGCGGCGGCGUCGUCCUCUCGCGUGCCCAAUGCGCAAGCCCCACCACGCCGCGCAGCCUCCGCCGCCGCCGCCGCUCCCGCUCCCGCUCCCGCUCCCGCCGCGGAACUGCCCGCUCGCGACCGCGGUCCUGGCGCUCCUCUCCGUGCUCCUCGCCACGGCGCUGUGGGUCCUCCUCGUGCUGUCCCCGGCGUCCCACGCGAGGGGCCCAGCCGCGGGGCUGUCGGAUGCGGCGGACGCGGAGGCGUUUGCGGUGGCGGGCGGAGGAGGCGGAGGCGGCGGGGAGGGCGCGGAGGCCCCGCUGUCGCUCGGCCACAUCGUGUUCGGGAUCGCGGGCUCCGCGCACCUCUGGCCGCGCCGCCGGGAGUACGUCCGGAUGUGGUGGGACCCGGCCGCCAUGCGCGGGCACGUGUGGCUCGACGCCGGGGCGCCCGCGGCGCCGGGGCCGAGCGCGUCCGGGGAGGGGUCCCUCCUCCCGCCGAUCCGGGUGUCGGAGGACACGUCGCGGUUCCGGUACACGAACCCCACGGGCCACCCCUCGGGCCUCCGGAUCGCGCGCAUCGCCGCCGAGGCCGUGCGGCUCGUGGGCGGCGGCGGCGGGGGCGCGCGGUGGGUGGUGCUCGUGGACGACGACACCGUGGUGUCCGCGGACAACCUGGUGGCCGUGCUCGGGAAGUACGACUGGAGGGAGAUGGUGUACGUCGGCGCGCCGUCGGAGAGCCACUCGGCGAACACCUACUUCAGCCACAGUAUGGCGUUCGGGGGCGGCGGCGUCGCGCUCAGCCUCCCCCUCGCCACGGCGCUCGCGCGGACGCUCGACGUCUGCAUCGAGAGGUACCCCAAGCUGUACGGAAGUGACGAUCGCCUCCAUGCUUGCAUCACCGAGCUCGGAGUGCCCCUCUCCCGCGAGUACGGAUUCCAUCAGUGGGAUAUCAGAGGCAAUGCCCAUGGUAUAUUGGCUGCUCAUCCAAUUGCUCCUUUCAUCAGUAUCCACCAUCUGGAGCUUGUCGAUCCUAUAUACCCUGGUUUGAACUCUCUUGAGAGUUUGGAGCUCUUUACAAAGGCUAUGAAAACAGAACCCAUGAGCUUCUUGCAGCGCUCGAUUUGUUAUGAUAAAAGGCAGAAGUAUACAUUUGCAGUCUCUUUGGGUUAUGUUGUUCAAGUGUACCCCUAUGUUCUUCUUCCUCGUGAAUUGGAGCGAUCCGAGCGGACUUACAUUGCAUAUAAUAGGAUGAGUCAGCGAACUGAAUUUGAUUUUGACACUAAGGAUAUUCAGAAAUCAUUGUGCAAGAAACCUAUAUUAUUUUUCUUGAAGGAUGUUUGGAAGGAUGGAAACAUAACUAGGGGUUCUUAUAUACGUGCAAGUGUUCGGGAUGACCUAAAAAACAAAGUGUUUUGCUUCAGGUCACCCCCUUUACCUGACAUAGACGAGAUUCAAGUUUCUGCAUCCCCAUUAAGCAAAAGAUGGCAUCUGGCACCAAGAAGGUUAUGCAGUGCGCUUAAAGGAUCUAUUAAUGGCACUUUGUUUAUGUUUGUUCGGCAAUGUGGACGGGGGACAUUUGGCUCAGCUUCUGAUUCUCUAUAAUUGAUGGAAAGCAGAGGUGUAUAUUUUCUGUUCAGAUGAUACCUGGAAGAUGUAGUUACCAUCCUACAUUCUUUGAAUCGAGUGUUGUGGGGGCUCUUUUUCUGCCUCGAGCACUUGGCAGUUACCAACUGCUUGUUAUACUUGGUAGUUGUUGAAGCAGUUUGUUAAUAGAAGAAUCUGCUGAGGAACAAAGCUGAAAAAGAAAUACUGGUGGCUUUUUUUGUGGAAUCUUCAAGCUACUCGUGGAUGUACGAUACUUGUGGACGGAGACUGGGUGAACGGAGUGUCACCCUUUGAUUAGCUGCAUUAGUCUGACUGAAACAACUUUCCGGCUUCAUUCUUUGAGACCCGUGUACUAACCUUGAUGGAUUCUCAGUCGAAAUGUGAAAUCACUAAAUCAGGUAAGAACAGCACUCCAUUAGCAUUGUAUUGGAGGGCUGUAAACCUUUCCCGAUACCUUGUUUAGAACUGUAAAUCAGUGUGAACUGUGAAGCGCCAUAACCAUGAAAGAGAUUCCAUUCAAUCUUUAUUCCUUUCCAGUUCA
Molecule: non-coding RNA, 2206 nt
Organism: Oryza sativa Japonica Group (Japanese rice)
Lineage: Eukaryota; Viridiplantae; Streptophyta; Magnoliopsida; Poales; Poaceae
Source: RefSeq, a predicted model, not a curated record